CCUGAUCAGCGAAGUGCAGCUGCAACUUUAGCGCUAUAUUGGGAGAAACCAUUCGAUUCUUUCAUUUAUAACUAACUCUGAUUUUUCCAUUUAUAUUAACAAAAUAUGCAUGUGGGAGGCAUGGUAAUUCUAAGUAGACAUAAUCAGGAUACAUGCUGUUUUCAAGGACAGCAUAGGGCACAAAAUGCGCAGAUUGGCGUCCCACCCAGAGUUAUUCCCUGCCUUGCCCGUAACGAACCUGAAUAGGACAGAAAAUAUAUGAUUGGGUGGAUGGAUUGAUCUUUUUAAGAUUUAACACCUGACGGAAAAACUCUCAAGCAGCAGGAAGUCAUCUUGCUACCUGUAUUGCUACAGAAUGGUCCCCUCUUCAUUGCAACUGUUUUUUAAUUUGGAGAAUUUAAUUUUGAAAAUGACCCUAUUUAAAUGCUUGCAGAUUCACAGAUUAACUGCAUGUCUCAAGAAUUAUUUAAGGAUUAUGGUAAAACUUAACUUGUCGAGGCACAAAUACUUAGUAUUAACGUCUUAGUACUUUAGUACAAAUCAUGAACAAAUGUAGUCGCUACCUGAGAUGAAAGAUGCGUCACGAUUCAUUAAUGAUGAACAAACAGUUCAGAGAUCAGUAUGU
Molecule: non-coding RNA, 625 nt
Organism: Paramormyrops kingsleyae
Lineage: Eukaryota; Metazoa; Chordata; Actinopteri; Osteoglossiformes; Mormyridae
Source: RefSeq, a predicted model, not a curated record